RNAcentral lists this ribosomal RNA (539 nucleotides) under uncultured bacterium. RNAcentral describes it as "bacterial SSU rRNA". It matches the Rfam family "Bacterial small subunit ribosomal RNA", at positions 355 to 896 of the family's 1533-position model. The record is from RNAcentral.
UGAGGAAUAUUGGUCAAUGGACGGAAGUCUGAACCAGCCAAGUAGCGUGCAGGAUGACGGCCCUAUGGGUUGUAAACUGCUUUUGUAUGGGGAUAAAGUUAGGGACGUGUCCCUAUUUGCAGGUACCAUACGAAUAAGGACCGGCUAAUUCCGUGCCAGCAGCCGCGGUAAUACGGAAGGUCCAGGCGUUAUCCGGAUUUAUUGGGUUUAAAGGGAGCGUAGGCUGGAGAUUAAGUGUGUUGUGAAAUGUAGACGCUCAACGUCUGAAUUGCAGCGCAUACUGGUUUCCUUGAGUACGCACAACGUUGGCGGAAUUCGUCGUGUAGCGGUGAAAUGCUUAGAUAUGACGAAGGACUCCGAUUGCGAAGGCAGCUGACGGGAGCGCAACUGACGCUUAAGCUCGAAGGUGCGGGUAUCAAACAGGAUUAGAUACCCUGGUAGUCCGCACAGUAAACGAUGGAUGCCCGCUGUUGGUACCUGGUAUCAGCGGCUAAGCGAAAGCAUUAAGCAUCCCACCUGGGGAGUACGCCGGCNCGGUG